GCCCGCAGCAUAUUGCGCAACGCGCCGCCGCGCCGUCGAGUGAGCAGGACGCGACCCCGGCCUCGUGCUGUGCAGCCCGCAGCAUGCCGUGCAACGCGCCGCCGCGCCGUCGACUGAGCAGGAGCCGCCGCGACGCGGGCCUCGUGCCGUGCAACCCGCAGCAUGCCGCGCGCCGCGCCGUCGAGUGAGCAGGAGCCGCCGGCGCUCGUACACAAUAAGCAGACAGCCAUGCAGCUGGAUGGAUUUUUCCUUGAGGAGCACACACACCUAUGAAAACCGCAAACCGCCGGCUUGCUUGAUCGGUGGCACGACUCAACGGAACACGCACGCGAACACAACCGUUUUCAUGACCGAGCGUGUCUGUGGAAGCCAGCUCUCCUACCCAGGCCAUUCUUUGCGAGACCGGCGAAGACAGCUUCAGCCUCCCCGCCUCCCCGCCAAGGAUGGAAUCACGGAAAGAUCUGCUUCAUCGAAACCGUGUCCGCGAGGACGACGGGCAGGUACAUACAUACAUAUACCCAAGGUCGAUGUUGGCCGAUGCUUGUGGUUGCAAUUUCAUAUCCUGGCCGGUGAUGUAUUGAUGCUCAUGGUGAGCCAUGGAAUAAUAACCGGGAACUCUUCAUCUCUAUGUCAUACUGGAUGAAUCCUUCCUCUUAUCCACGCCACUGGAAUCAUGCGCCGCCGCCGGGAAGCCCACCAUAUCUAGCCUCCCCUGGUGCACCCCCCCGUCCAUGGUCGGUCCGUAUCCCACGUUGCGGGAGCCGCAGCGAGCCACGGGAGCCAGGAGCGGCGGUGCUAAGCGGGCGGGGCUGGCAGCGCAGGCGGCCGGCGGCGGCACUAGAUCCGAGGAACGCCACGGGAGGCGCGUCGGGCAGGGACAACCAUGGCCGAUGGAGUUGAGCGGCGGUCAGUGAAGGCCAGCAGGCAGUGGAGUCCAGCCACGACCUUGCGGAGGAGCAGAGUUGUUGAUGGAACAUAUGAUGAACUCUGUGAACAGAUGGUUGAAAAUCUAUGAAGUUGGAGGUCGGAGUGCAUCCUAUGAACAUGCAUCACGUAUUCAUGAAAGACCAAUUGUGAGCUGGCUAUGGUCUGCUGGAUGUCUGUCUUUUUGGACCAUUCUCAAACUCCUCUCUGGUCAGUCAAACCCUUCAGGACGUUGCGCGGGCGGCGGCACUAGAUCCGAGGAACGCCACGGGAGGCGCGUCGGGCAGGGACAACCAUGGCCGAUGGAGUCGAGCGGCGGUCAGUGAAGGCCAGCAGGCAGUGGAGUCCAGUCACGACCUUGCGGAGGAGCAGAGUUGUUGAUGGAACAUAUGAUGAACUCUGUGAACAGAUGGUUGAAAAUCUAUGAAGUUGGAGGUCGGAGUGCGUCCUAUGAACAUGCAUCACGUAUUCAUGAAAGACCAAUUGUGAGCUGGCUAUGGUCUGCUGGAUGUCUGUCUUUUUGGACCAUUCUCAAACUCCUCUCUGGUCAGUCAAACCCUUCAGGACGUUGCGCGGAGUGUAAGAUGCAAUGCUGCUCAAACUCAAAGUCUCCAGUGCAAAUCUUCAGCCACGACUGUCAAACAAUCUGAUCCCAAAGCUUCAGGGAAAGUUCAAGGGCCUAAACUGGACGAUGGAAGCGGUGGGUUCCAUUUCGGCAAAGGAGGCGGCGGUGAUGGAGGGGAUGGUGGCGGCAGCAACCGCUCCUUCUCUAAACCUCAAGGAGUUUGAGAAGUACUACCUGCUUGCUCGAACGCCUUUUGCAGGAUAUGACGAUGUGGAGCUAGGGCAAUCAUCAUGAGUCUUGUUAGUAGUAGUGUCUCUUCUGUUCGAUGCGUGAAAUUUCUAAAUGGUUGUUUCUUAGUCUGGAAGUGCAUCAAUGAACUGUCAUGACUGGUUAUGCUAUGUGUCCUUGUCUUCUAAACAUGUAUGUUGACCGGUGAAAAGCUCAAAAUGUUAUAGGAUUGAGUCUAAGAUGCUGAAACUUGAUGUCAUCUGGCGCUGUGCGUAAACACGAGGAAAUAUAUGUGCAACUGAGGUUUUGCUCUUAA
This is a long non-coding RNA of Triticum urartu, 2033 nucleotides long. RefSeq lists it as uncharacterized. The record is from RefSeq and is a predicted model, not a curated record. Lineage: Eukaryota; Viridiplantae; Streptophyta; Magnoliopsida; Poales; Poaceae.